RNAcentral lists this ribosomal RNA (193 nucleotides) under uncultured bacterium. Its description in RNAcentral is "partial 16S ribosomal RNA". It matches the Rfam family "Bacterial small subunit ribosomal RNA", at positions 336 to 526 of the family's 1533-position model. The record is from RNAcentral.
CUCCUACGGGGGGCAGCAGUAAGGAAUAUUGGUCAAUGGGCGGAAGCCUGAACCAGCCAUGCCGCGUGCAGGAAGACGGCCCUACGGGUUGUAAACUGCUUUUGCAGGGGAAUAAACCCCCGGACGUGUCCGGGGCUGAAUGUACCUUGAGAAUAAGGAUCGGCUAACUCCGUGCCAGCAGCCGCGGUAAUAC